AGGAUAGUUAUGUUGAACGGAUAGCGCGUCAGCCUUCUAAGCUGAAUGUCCUGGGUUCAAAUCCCAGCGGACCCG
This 75-nucleotide transfer RNA is filed under the name miscellaneous Crenarchaeota group-6 archaeon AD8-1. RNAcentral describes it as "tRNA-Arg". It matches the Rfam family "tRNA", at positions 14 to 71 of the family's 71-position model. Rfam says of the family: Transfer RNA (tRNA) molecules are approximately 80 nucleotides in length. The record is from RNAcentral. Lineage: Archaea; Thermoproteati; Candidatus Bathyarchaeota; Bathyarchaeia (SeqCode).